GUAGGUGAACCUGCGGAAGGAUCAUUACUGAGUUUGAAAUUGAAAAAUUUCAUCUCCCACCCUUUGUUUAUAAGACCUGUUGCUUCGGCGAGAUUGAUGAUUUUAUUAUCAUCGGUUGAUUGAAUCUUUCAAUGAACUUUGCUUGCCGAAGUUUUUUAUAACUCUUUUUUCUUGAUAUUCGAGUUUAAAAACAAAAAAAUUAAAACUUUCAACAACGGAUCUCUUGGUUCUG
This 232-nucleotide unclassified non-coding RNA is filed under the name rhizosphere metagenome. Its description in RNAcentral is "partial ribosomal RNA internal transcribed spacer region". The record is from RNAcentral.